This 931-nucleotide long non-coding RNA is filed under the name Homo sapiens (human). RNAcentral describes it as "HSALNT0258061". The record is from RNAcentral. Lineage: Eukaryota; Metazoa; Chordata; Mammalia; Primates; Hominidae.
CACUCGACUUCAGGGUUCCCUGAGCCUCUUAGGGAAAGGACGUUGGAACAUUAGAAGGGCCUUGGAGGAUGGGAAGUGAGGUGCUGCCAACCAGCUCAACCUAAAGAUGGUAAAAGGGAAAGUGUCCCCCACAGGGUCAACUUGGGCUGCUCCUGGGAUCUUCUUUCUGAACUAAAGGCAGUCUGGGACCAUUCUGAACUUGCCUGGUGAUCGGUGGCAAACUCAUUCACUCCCCCACUGCCAUCUCCCACGUUAUGAAAUGAGAAGAAAUCAUUCCUGCAGUUCAUUUAUCAUUUUUGCAUGUAUUAGCGUGCUGGCAGGCAUUUUACAAGGCCCUGGGAAUAGAACGGCAAGAAAAAGAGACACCAUUCCUACCUUCAUGGAGCUUGUGGUUCCAAGGCAAACAGGCAUGAAUCAAGGGAUUACAGAAGACGGUGUAAAAUUGUAAAUGUGGAAUUAUUGUAAAGGGAAGCUAACACAGGUCAUGGGUUGGGGGAGCAUCACAGGGAGAUGCCCAGUCUUCAAGGUCUGAGAAAGCGUCCUCUUGGCAGAAACCCUUGUGUUGACACCUAUGAGAUCUGUAAGACUAGAAGAGGCCAAAUAGGCCAAAAGGGGAGAAAAACAAUGGAAGCAGGAGGAGCACCAGCAAGGCCAAUGUGUGGGAAGAGGAGUAAGACAUGUUGGAAGUGAGAAAAGGCUGGGUGGCUGGGAAAAACGUCUGAUGGGAAACAUGGUCGGAGAGGAGCCUGGGGAGGAAGAAAAGAGCCCCGCCAAGGAGGGCCUUGUAGGACAACUGGUGUGUCUUCAUCCCACUGUCAGGGGAGGGCCUUUGGAGGGUUUGCAGCAGAGUAGGGAGGGGUGCUAUAGAUGAGUGUGCUUUUGAAGCGAUCACUCCAGCUGCAAUGUGAUACAAAGACAAGGGGGUUCCGAG